UCAUCAGUCAGGCUCCUGGCUAGAGUCCAGCUCUCAGCUGGUUUUAGCCAAAGCCUGACUAUAAG
Neotoma lepida (desert woodrat) is the source of this 65-nucleotide microRNA precursor. It matches the Rfam family "mir-344 microRNA precursor family". Lineage: Eukaryota; Metazoa; Chordata; Mammalia; Rodentia; Cricetidae. The record is from Rfam.